RNAcentral lists this ribosomal RNA (367 nucleotides) under Philothamnus angolensis. Its description in RNAcentral is "partial 16S ribosomal RNA". It matches the Rfam family "Bacterial large subunit ribosomal RNA", at positions 2018 to 2606 of the family's 2925-position model. Lineage: Eukaryota; Metazoa; Chordata; Lepidosauria; Squamata; Colubridae. The record is from RNAcentral.
GUCUCUUAUAAUAAAUCAAUUAAACUGAUCUCCCAGUAAAAAAGCUGGAAUUACCACAUAAGACCAGAAGACCCUGUGAAGCUUAAACUACACUAUUAAACCACAUAAUAGCCACUUUUGGUUGGGGCGACCUUGGAAAAAAAAAGAACUUCCAAACCAUGANCAUAUCACCAAUAGGCCUACAAGCCACUAACGACCCAGCAUAGCUGAUUAUUGAACCAAGUUACUCCAGGGAUAACAGCGCAAUCCUCUUCAAGAGCCCAUAUCAAAAAGAGGGUUUACGACCUCGAUGUUGGAUCAGGACAUCCUAAUGGUGCAGCCGCUAUCAAGGGUUCGUUUGUUCAACGAUUAAUGUCCUACGUGAUCU